AUAAUAAGAAGCAUGAAUGCAUUUAGUUUCGACCUAAAAGAUAGUUAAUUUUAACUCUUAUUU
Molecule: transfer RNA, 63 nt
Filed under: Eucnemidae sp. 4 ACP-2013
Lineage: Eukaryota; Metazoa; Arthropoda; Insecta; Coleoptera; Eucnemidae
Description: tRNA-Arg
Source: RNAcentral